Molecule: ribosomal RNA, 274 nt
Filed under: uncultured bacterium
Lineage: Bacteria
Description: partial 16S ribosomal RNA
Rfam family: Bacterial small subunit ribosomal RNA
Source: RNAcentral
AUACGGAGGGGGCUAGCGUUGUUCGGAAUUACUGGGCGUAAAGCGUACGUAGGCGGUUUAUCAAGUUGGGCGUGAAAGCCCGGGGCUCAACCCCGGAACUGCGCUCAAAACUAGUAAGCUAGAGACCGGGAGAGGUGAGUGGAAUUCCCAGUGUAGAGGUGAAAUUCGUAGAUAUUGGGAAGAACACCAGUGGCGAAGGCGACUCACUGGACCGGUUCUGACGCUGAGGUACGAAAGCGUGGGGAGCAAACAGGAUUAGAAACCCCAGUAGUCC